ACCCUUCGUCAGCUAGCUUCAAUCAUAGCCAGCCCGAAGCCCAACUAUUGCACGUCUACUGGUCCAUUGUCGUCGAGUUUGUCGCCCAAAAGAUCGCACAACGGUGAGCUUGAAACAGCACCGGCGAGCUCACGAUUCGCAGAAAUCGCGAGGAGCCGAGACACAUCUUGGCCUCGAAGCCCCAGCGGCCCACCCGCCGAACAGUCGGCCGCUCAGGUCGCCAGUGCGAGAUGCCGGAGACGGCGCAACACUUGCGCUCACCUGCCAACCUACUCCGACAGCAAUAGCCUCGUGAUUGAUGGCAUCACGAAGGAUUGUGCGAUCUCCCGGAGUCGCACAUCAGCUUUCUCCUGC
This 354-nucleotide long non-coding RNA is filed under the name Manihot esculenta (cassava). RNAcentral describes it as "long non-coding RNA (MESC_LNC008677)". The record is from RNAcentral. Lineage: Eukaryota; Viridiplantae; Streptophyta; Magnoliopsida; Malpighiales; Euphorbiaceae.